This 657-nucleotide unclassified non-coding RNA is filed under the name Hevea brasiliensis (rubber tree). The record is from RNAcentral. Lineage: Eukaryota; Viridiplantae; Streptophyta; Magnoliopsida; Malpighiales; Euphorbiaceae.
GCCGGUUCUCAAGUUAAACUCUUCACUCUUAUUCUUCUUUUGGCUUCCACAAGUUUUAGUCCAAGAUCGAUGAGGACAAAUGCAAACAGACAUGCAGCAUAUUCUUUAAGCUUGAAGAUAACCCAUUUUCCUGCCCGACUAAGCUCACCUCGAUCACUUGGUGCAGCAAAAGAUGGCAGUGGCUUUGGAUUUUAUUUCCAUGUAUCAGGUGAUGUUUGUUUUUGAAAGAUGAGUUUUGAUGAGAAAAUUGGUUUUGAUAAGGAAGCCAUGAUCCAAAAGUAGAGAAUUUUUCUUAGAAAAUUUGAGAGAAGUGACGUUUAUCAUGAUUUUUCAUGUGAUUUAAUUUUAAUUUUUUGAAUUGAUGCCAAAUCUUUUUUUUUUUAUUUCUACACAUUUUGACAACCAAAUGCCACGUAAGCAUUUAGCCUGGGAACCAGCAAUUAGAAGUUAUAGGUACUUUCAUGUUACUUCAAUUAAAGUUGUGGUACUUUUCUGUUACAAAUUAAAGUUGAAAUACUUUUAUAUUACAUAACUUAAGUUCAGGUAUAAUGGGUUUAAUUUAAACUUAAUAUGUUUACCAUAAAUGUUCUUAAACCUUACUAGAGGGAUGCUAGGAUGCUUCUUCGGACAUUACAGUUUAAGAGUCCUUUAGAGGUU